AAAAAAAAAAAAAAAAAAAAGUAAAAUCAUUGCUCAAAUAUUAAUAUAAAUAUUAAUUUUAUGGCUUAGUUUAAUAAGUUAAUUAAUAGUUUUUGUAAUAGAGAUAUUUUUAAAAUUAGUUAAAUUUGUGCCAGCACCUGCGGUUAGACUAGGAAUUUAAUUAAUAUUUUUUAGGGUUUAUAAGUAGGGUUAUGUAUAAAAUCAUUUUUGGUGAAAUAUUUUUUGGAGGUUUGAUUGAAUUUAUUAAGAUGAUUUUUUGGUAAAGUAGGAUUAGAUACCCUAUUAUUUUAUUUUAGUUUUUUCUAAGGAUUAAAUAUAAAUUUAUAAGAUUUGGCGGCUAAAAUAAAUUAAAGGAGUUUGUUUUUAUUGGAUGUGACUCACUGAAUCUUACUUAUUUUAUUUAGUAUAUCGUCAUUUAAAUAGUUUAUAAUUAAUUAACUCUUCUAAUUUACUAAAAAAAAUUAGACCAUGGUGCAGAAAUAAAUAAGGGUAAAUUAACUACAAUAAUAUAUUAUUAAACUUGUCUUUUUUAAAUUAAAAUUGUAGGUGGAUUUAAUUGUAAUUAUAAGAACAUGAAAUUUAUUUUAGUGUACAAAUUGCCCGUCAUUCUCUAUGAGACAAGUCGAAACAAAGUAGAGCUAUCGGAAGUUGGAUCUA
Molecule: non-coding RNA, 657 nt
Filed under: Pseudoniphargus sp. 1-Balearics
Lineage: Eukaryota; Metazoa; Arthropoda; Malacostraca; Amphipoda; Allocrangonyctidae
Source: RNAcentral